AACGAACGCUGGCGGCAUGCCUAACACAUGCAAGUCGAACGAGUGCCUUCGGGUGCUAGUGGCGCACGGGUGCGUAACGCGUGGGAAUCUGCCCUUUGGUUCGGAAUAACAGUUGGAAACGACUGCUAAUACCGGAUGAUGACGAAAGUCCAAAGAUUUAUCGCCAGAGGAUGAGCCCGCGUAGGAUUAGCUAGUUGGUGUGGUAAAGGCGCACCAAGGCGACGAUCCUUAGCUGGCCUGAGAGGAUGAUCAGCCACACUGGGACUGAGACACGGCCCAGACUCCUACGGGAGGCAGCAGUGGGGAAUAUUGGACAAUGGGCGAAAGCCUGAUCCAGCAAUGCCGCGUGAGUGAUGAAGGCCUUAGGGUUGUAAAGCUCUUUUACCCGGGAUGAUAAUGACAGUACCGGGAGAAUAAGCUCCGGCUAACUCCGUGCCAGCAGCCGCGGUAAUACGGAGGGAGCUAGCGUUGCUCGGAAUUACUGGGCGUAAAGCGCACGUAGGCGGCUUUGUAAGUUAGAGGUGAAAGCCUGGAGCUCAACUCCAGAACUGCCUUUAAGACUGCAUCGCUUGAAUCCAGGAGAGGUGAGUGGAAUUCCGAGUGUAGAGGUGAAAUUCGUAGAUAUUCGGAAGAACACCAGUGGCGAAGGCGGCUCACUGGACUGGUAUUGACGCUGAGGUGCGAAAGCGUGGGGAGCAAACAGG
RNAcentral lists this ribosomal RNA (704 nucleotides) under uncultured Sphingomonas sp. RNAcentral's name for it is "bacterial SSU rRNA". It matches the Rfam family "Bacterial small subunit ribosomal RNA", at positions 28 to 776 of the family's 1533-position model. The record is from RNAcentral. Lineage: Bacteria; Pseudomonadati; Pseudomonadota; Alphaproteobacteria; Sphingomonadales; Sphingomonadaceae.